Molecule: ribosomal RNA, 459 nt
Filed under: uncultured bacterium
Lineage: Bacteria
Description: partial 16S ribosomal RNA
Rfam family: Bacterial small subunit ribosomal RNA
Source: RNAcentral
CCUACGGGUGGCAGCAGUGAGGAAUAUUGGUCAAUGGCCGGAAGGCUGAACCAGCCAAGUCGCGUGAGGGACGACUGCCCUAUGGGUUGUAAACCUCUUUUAUAAGGGAAGAAUAAAUGCUACGUGUAGCAUGAUGCCUGUACCUUAUGACUAAGCAUCGGCUAACUCCGUGCCAGCAGCCGCGGUAAUACGGAGGAUGCGAGCGUUAUCCGGAUUUAUUGGGUUUAAAGGGUGCGCAGGCGGCGUGUCAAGUCAGCGGUAAAAUGUCGGGGCUCAACCCCGGCCGGCCGUUGAAACUGGCGUGAUCGAGUUGGAGAGAAGGAUGCGGAAUUCGUGGUGGAGCGGUGAAAUGCAUAGAUAUCACGAAGAACCCCGAUUGCGAAGGCAGCAUACCGGCUCCACACUGACGCUGAGGCACGAAAGCGUGGGUAUCGAACAGGAUUAGAUACCCUAGUAGUC